AGCGGGUGUGGCCGGGCCCCCAGGCGUUCAUUCACGAGGAAGCAGAGUACUACCAGCGACUGAUGCACACACCCACCUUAGCCACGCCCUGGAACGACUGGCUACUUGCUGAAAAACAGAUGGUCCCUGCUCUACAAGGGCUACUGCUGGGCAGCGCAGCCCCAGCUCCCGGGCAGCCCGCCAUCACGAGGGUGAACCCCCGACACACCGAGAACCAUUCCGCACCAGGCAGCCAUCCGCUUUUCGCUCUCGAUUUCUACAAAACAGCUUGAGGCCAAGAGAAGAAAACAAAGCCCCCUGAGUGAGUUAGCAGAAGACCAGGACUCGAAACCCACUUUCAGGGCCUGACCUCGGUCCCCAGGGCCAAGAGAAUAUCACCCAGCCCAGCUGCAGGGGGCACCCGCGCGCGUGAGCCUCCUCAGCACCCGCAGAGGCAGCGCACGUGCAGCGGAAGAAGCCCAGGGCUCUGCACCCGGCGGGGCUGCGGCCUCCGUGGUCUCCCCACCCAGCACCGGGGCCUGAUUCCCCUCAGGGCUCUCCCACGCCCUGAGCAUCAAGGGCUGGGCUGGGGGGUGGGGGGGAAGCCCGCCUUCCAUGACCGUGAGCCUGCUGAGCACGCGGCCUCCCCGUUCGUGUUCACUACUGUGCAGCGGUGCAGGUCUGUGCCUGGCUGGUCAGCUUGUGAUCUGCAGAGAGGCCGAGGGCAGGGGAACAGGGGAGGGGAGCUAGCCUUCCCCUCCCUGCGUUCACUGGACGUGAUGACGCUAUAAAGACGCACAAGACACACUCCAGGUUCUCACGAGCUCCAAGGGUUCAUCAGGGAAGCGGACCCCAAGACAAAAACCUGGGUCAGGACAGCGGCGGAUGGACCAACUCUGCCAUCAGAGGCACGUGGUGUGGCAGAGAGAGCUGGCUUUCCUGAGUCCGACGGAUCCAGGACUAAAUGCCGUCUCUGGCGUGUGCUAUGGGCAGGUUACCUAACCUCUCUGGACCUUAGUUUCUUUACUUAUGAAAUGAGGUUAAUAAUACCCCCAAAGCAGUGAAUGGUCAGGAUUAAAAUAUAUAAUCUAAGUCAAACGAUGAGCCCAGGGCCAGCACAUCGUAGGUGUUCUGUGAUGGGGAGCUAUAAAUAUUACCGAUACUGCCCAAUAGCGACUGAGGGCCCGCUGCAGGUCGGGCACCGGCUGGGCACUUUACGUAAACCUUUAAUGCUCAUAAAAACCCCAUGAAGGGGGCUUCCCUGGUGGCGCAGUGGUUGGGAGUCCACCUGCCGAUGCAGGGGACGCGGGUUCGUGCCCCGGUCCAGGAGGAUCCCACGUGCCGCGGAGCGGCUGGGCCC
Molecule: long non-coding RNA, 1339 nt
Organism: Lagenorhynchus albirostris (white-beaked dolphin)
Lineage: Eukaryota; Metazoa; Chordata; Mammalia; Artiodactyla; Delphinidae
Exons: 3
Source: RefSeq, a predicted model, not a curated record